GGAGUUCAGUCAACUGAAGCUUCCUUAUUUCGGCAGAAGUCACCUUACAUGACUCCAAGGUUAGGGAGCGUAGGUUCUUCAGUGGCUUCAAAUGCUGCAGACCUUUAUUGGUUAUCAGAGAAUUCGAAACAUUGAGUGACACCAACUCCUCCAACCCUGUAUUUCAUGUUGGCAAACAUUACAAGCAACAAUUUGUUAGUUAGGACUUGGAACCACUCCAGACUUGUCGGACCAAAUCACUGUCCGGAUGUAGUUCAAGUUCCAGCAAAGAGUCACAGAAGGACUAAAAUACCAGAUAUCAUCUCCAAGG
This 310-nucleotide long non-coding RNA is filed under the name Linum usitatissimum (flax). RNAcentral's name for it is "long non-coding RNA (LUSI_LNC001007)". Lineage: Eukaryota; Viridiplantae; Streptophyta; Magnoliopsida; Malpighiales; Linaceae. The record is from RNAcentral.